This 468-nucleotide ribosomal RNA is filed under the name uncultured bacterium. RNAcentral's name for it is "partial 16S ribosomal RNA". It matches the Rfam family "Bacterial small subunit ribosomal RNA", at positions 28 to 507 of the family's 1533-position model. The record is from RNAcentral.
GACGAACGCUGGCGGCGUGCUUAACACAUGCAAGUCGAACGGAAAGGCCCUGCUUUUGUGGGGUGCUCGAGUGGCGAACGGGUGAGUAACACGUGAGUAACCUGCCCUUGACUUUGGGAUAACUUCAGGAAACUGGGGCUAAUACCGGAUAGGAGCUCCUGCUGCAUGGUGGGGGUUGGAAAGUUUCGGCGGUUGGGGAUGGACUCGCGGCUUAUCAGCUUGUUGGUGGGGUAGUGGCUUACCAAGGCUUUGACGGGUAGCCGGCCUGAGAGGGUGACCGGCCACAUUGGGACUGAGAUACGGCCCAGACUCCUACGGGAGGCAGCAGUGGGGAAUAUUGCACAAUGGGCGGAAGCCUGAUGCAGCAACGCCGCGCGCGGGAUGACGACCUUCGGGUUGUAAACCGCUUUCGCCUGUGACGAAGCGUGAGUGACGGUAAUGGGUAAAGAAGCACCGGCUAACUACGUG